UCGGGUAUAGCACAAAGGUAGCGCGCCGCAACGCUUCUUCGGAACUGUUCGCGAAGGUCGGGGUUCGAUUCCCCGUACUCGAG
Non-coding RNA from Coprinopsis marcescibilis, 83 nucleotides. The record is from the annotation of a GenBank genome assembly. NCBI's taxonomy places the organism in Eukaryota, Fungi, Basidiomycota, Agaricomycetes, Agaricales, Psathyrellaceae.